RNAcentral lists this ribosomal RNA (1346 nucleotides) under uncultured bacterium. RNAcentral describes it as "bacterial SSU rRNA". It matches the Rfam family "Bacterial small subunit ribosomal RNA", at positions 28 to 1381 of the family's 1533-position model. The record is from RNAcentral.
GACGAACGCUGGCGGCGUGCUUAACACAUGCAAUUCGAACGGAAAGGCCCUGCUUUUGUGGGGUGCUCGAGUGGCGAACGGGUGAGUAACACGUGAGUAACCUGCCCUUGACUUUGGGAUAACUUCAGGAAACUGGGGCUAAUACCGGAUAGGAGCUCCUGCUGCAUGGUGGGGGUUGGAAAGUUUCGGCGGUUGGGGAUGGACUCGCGGCUUAUCAGCUUGUUGGUGGGGUAGUGGCUUACCAAGGCUUUGACGGGUAGCCGGCCUGAGAGGGUGACCGGCCACAUUGGGACUGAGAUACGGCCCAGACUCCUACGGGAGGCAGCAGUGGGGAAUAUUGCACAAUGGGCGGAAGCCUGAUGCAGCAACGCCGCGUGCGGGAUGACGGCCUUCGGGUUGUAAACCGCUUUCGCCUGUGACGAAGCGUGAGUGACGGUAAUGGGUAAAGAAGCACCGGCUAACUACGUGCCAGCAGCCGCGGUGAUACGUAGGGUGCGAGCGUUGUCCGGAUUUAUUGGGCGUAAAGGGCUCGUAGGUGGUUGAUCGCGUCGGAAGUGUAAUCUUGGGGCUUAACCCUGAGCGUGCUUUCGAUACGGGUUGACUUGAGGAAGGUAGGGGAGAAUGGAGUUCCUGGUGGAGCGGUGGAAUGCGCAGAUAUCAGGAGGAACACCAGUGGCGAAGGCGGUUCUCUGGGCCUUUCCUGACGCUGAGGAGCGAAAGCGUGGGGAGCGAACAGGCUUAGAUACCCUGGUAGUCCACGCUGUAAACGGUGGGUACUAGGUGUGGGGUCCAUUCCACGGGUUCCGUGCCGUAGCUAACGCUUUAAGUACCCCGCCUGGGGAGUACGGCCGCAAGGCUAAAACUCAAAGGAAUUGACGGGGCCCCGCACAAGCGGCGGAGCAUGCGGAUUAAUUCGAUGCAACGCGUAGAACCUUACCUGGGUUUGACAUGGAUCGGGAGUGCUCAGAGAUGGGUGUGCCUCUUUUGGGGUCGGUUCACAGGUGGUGCAUGCCUGUCGUCAGCUCGUGCCGUGAGAUGUUGGGUUAAGUCCCGCAACGAGCGCAACCCUUGUUCACUGUUGCCAGCACGUUAUGGUGGGGACUCAGUGGAGACCGCCGGGGUCAACUCGGAGGAAGGUGGGGAUGACGUCAAGUCCUCAUGCCCCUUAUGUCCAGGGCUUCACGCAUGCUACAAUGGCUGGUACAGAGAGUGGCGAGCCUGUGAGGGUGAGCGAAUCUCGGAAAGCCGGUCUCAGUUCGGAUUGGGGUCUGCAACUCGACCUCAUGAAGUCGGAGUCGCUAGUAAUCGCAGAUCAGCAACGCUGCGGUGAAUACGUUCCCGGGGCU